Molecule: non-coding RNA, 32 nt
Filed under: Geobacter sulfurreducens PCA
Lineage: Bacteria; Pseudomonadati; Thermodesulfobacteriota; Desulfuromonadia; Geobacterales; Geobacteraceae
Source: RNAcentral
UAGACCUCUGCAGCGCCUUUGCCACUGCAGCA